RNAcentral lists this unclassified non-coding RNA (57 nucleotides) under Sulfolobus acidocaldarius DSM 639. Its description in RNAcentral is "noncoding RNA Sac-sR22". The record is from RNAcentral. Lineage: Archaea; Thermoproteati; Thermoproteota; Thermoprotei; Sulfolobales; Sulfolobaceae.
CUGAAAUGAUGAAUUUUAGGGGAGCCUGAUAGGUGAGGAUGCGGUUACUCGCUGAAG